GACGAACGCUGGCGGCGUGCCUAAUACAUGCAAGUAGAACGCUGAAGAGAGGAGCUUGCUCUUCUUGGAUGAGUUGCGAACGGGUGAGUAACGCGUAGGUAACCUGCCUUGUAGCGGGGGAUAACUAUUGGAAACGAUAGCUAAUACCGCAUAACAAUGGAUGACACAUGUCCUUUAUUUGAAAGGGGCAAUUGCUCCACUACAAGAUGGACCUGCGUUGUAUUAGCUAGUAGGUGAGGUAAUGGCUCACCUAGGCGACGAUACAUAGCCGACCUGAGAGGGUGAUCGGCCACACUGGGACUGAGACACGGCCCAGACUCCUACGGGAGGCAGCAGUAGGGAAUCUUCGGCAAUGGGGGCAACCCUGACUGAGCAACGCCGCGUGAGUGAAGAAGGUUUUCGGAUCGUAAAGCUCUGUUGUAAGUCAAGAACGGGUGUGAGAGUGGAAAGUUCACACUGUGACGGUAGCUUACCAGAAAGGGACGGCUAACUACGUG
Molecule: ribosomal RNA, 497 nt
Filed under: uncultured bacterium
Lineage: Bacteria
Description: partial 16S ribosomal RNA
Rfam family: Bacterial small subunit ribosomal RNA
Source: RNAcentral